RNAcentral lists this ribosomal RNA (445 nucleotides) under uncultured bacterium. RNAcentral describes it as "bacterial SSU rRNA". It matches the Rfam family "Bacterial small subunit ribosomal RNA", at positions 28 to 457 of the family's 1533-position model. The record is from RNAcentral.
GAUGAACGCUGGCGGCGUGCCUAACACAUGCAAGUCGAACGAAGCAAUUGAAGGAAGUUUUCGGAUGGAAUUCGAUUGACUGAGUGGCGGACGGGUGAGUAACGCGUGGAUAACCUGCCUCACACUGGGGGAUAACAGUUAGAAAUGACUGCUAAUACCGCAUAAGCGCACAGUACCGCAUGGUACAGUGUGAAAAACUCCGGUGGUGUGAGAUGGAUCCGCGUCUGAUUAGCCAGUUGGCGGGGUAACGGCCCACCAAAGCGACGAUCAGUAGCCGACCUGAGAGGGUGACCGGCCACAUUGGGACUGAGACACGGCCCAAACUCCUACGGGAGGCAGCAGUGGGGAAUAUUGCACAAUGGGCGAAAGCCUGAUGCAGCGACGCCGCGUGAGUGAAGAAGUAUUUCGGUAUGUAAAGCUCUAUCAGCAGGGAAGAAAAUGACGG